RNAcentral lists this ribosomal RNA (1519 nucleotides) under Bacteroidota bacterium. RNAcentral describes it as "bacterial SSU rRNA". It matches the Rfam family "Bacterial small subunit ribosomal RNA". The record is from RNAcentral. Lineage: Bacteria; Pseudomonadati; Bacteroidota.
ACAAUGAAGAGUUUGAUCCUGGCUCAGGAUGAACGCUAGCGGCAGGCUUAACACAUGCAAGUCGAGGGGCAGCACGGGUAGCAAUACUCCGGUGGCGACCGGCGCACGGGUGCGUAACGCGUAUGCAACCUGCCUUUACAGGGGGGAUAGCCUUCGAGAAAUCGGAUUAAUACCCCAUAAUGAUAUUAAUGGCAUCAUUUAAUAUUUAAAGUUCGGCGGUACAGGAUGGGCAUGCGUAAGAUUAGCUGGUUGGUGGGGUAACGGCCUACCAAGGCGAUGAUCCGUAGGGGGCGUGAGAGCGUGAUCCCCCACACUGGUACUGAGACACGGACCAGACUCCUACGGGAGGCAGCAGUGAGGAAUAUUGGUCAAUGGGUGCAAGCCUGAACCAGCCAUCCCGCGUGAAGGACGACUGCCCUAUGGGUUGUAAACUUCUUUUGUAUAGGGAUAAACCUACCCUCGUGAGGGUAGCUGAAGGUACUAUACGAAUAAGCAUCGGCUAACUCCGUGCCAGCAGCCGCGGUAAUACGGGGGAUGCAAGCGUUAUCCGGAUUUAUUGGGUUUAAAGGGUGCGUAGGCGGAUCUGUAAGUCAGUGGUGAAAUCCUGCAGCUUAACUGUAGAACUGCCAUUGAUACUGAAUGUCUUGAGUACAAUUGAGGUAGGCGGAAUGUGUAAUGUAGCGGUGAAAUGCUUAGAUAUUACACAGAACACCAAUUGCGAAGGCAGCUUACUGAGCCAUAACUGACGCUGAGGCACGAAAGCGUGGGGAGCGAACAGGAUUAGAUACCCUGGUAGUCCACGCCGUAAACGAUGAUCACUCGCUGUUGGCGAUACACAGUCAGCGGCUAAGCGAAAGCAUUAAGUGAUCCACCUGGGGAGUACGGCCGCAAGGCUGAAACUCAAAGGAAUUGACGGGGCCCGCACAAGCGGAGGAACAUGUGGUUUAAUUCGAUGAUACGCGAGGAACCUUACCUGGGCUUAAAUGUAUAAUUGCAGUCCUUCGAAAAGAGGUUUCCUUCGGGGCUCUAUGCAAGGUGCUGCAUGGUUGUCGUCAGCUCGUGCCGUGAGGUGUCGGCGUAAGUGCCAUAACGAGGGCAAGCCUUAUCAUUAGUUGCCAGCGGUCAUGCCGGGAACUCUAACGAAACUGCCGGUGUAAACCGUGAGGAAGGUGGGGAUGACGUCAAAUCAGCACGGCCCUUAUGUCCAGGGCUACACGUGUUACAAUGGCCGGUACAGAGGGCAGCUACACAGCGAUGUGAUGCAAAUCUCGAAAGCCGGUCUCAGUUCGGAUCGGAGUCUGCAACUCGACUCCGUGAAGCUGGAUUCGCUAGUAAUCGCGCAUCAGCCAUGGCGCGGUGAAUACGUUCCCGGGCCUUGUACACACCGCCCGUCAAGCCAUGGAAGUUGGGGGUACCUGAAGUCCGUAACCGUAAGGAGCGGCCUAGGGUAAAACUAGUGACUGGGGCUAAGUCGUAACAAGGUAGCCGUACCGGAAGGUGCGGCUGGAACACCUCCUUU